Long non-coding RNA from Panicum virgatum (switchgrass), 316 nucleotides. RefSeq lists it as uncharacterized. Lineage: Eukaryota; Viridiplantae; Streptophyta; Magnoliopsida; Poales; Poaceae. The record is from RefSeq and is a predicted model, not a curated record. The transcript has 3 exons.
AAGCGGCUGUGCGAAACCUAAGGCUAACUCGGGAACAAUAUAUGAGGGUGAUUCCUUGGUGGUUAGCCAGGAAUGAACAGUGCUGGGACAUGAUAAUCGACAGGUGGUAUGCGGAAGGUUGGGUGGAGAUGCACGAGUCUUGCCGGCAGCGGCGUUUGAUGAUGCCAGGUGCACCGCACCAUCAGGGCAACAGUCACCUACGACAGUACGCGCCCAGAUGGUCGGCCUCACAUGGAGGCGAGCCUUGCCCCCCGAUCAAGGCGUGGGCUUUGGCCCACAAAGGGAAGGCUACAUCGGAUGUCAACUACAACCCGAC